RNAcentral lists this ribosomal RNA (279 nucleotides) under uncultured bacterium. RNAcentral's name for it is "partial 16S ribosomal RNA". It matches the Rfam family "Bacterial small subunit ribosomal RNA", at positions 506 to 784 of the family's 1533-position model. The record is from RNAcentral.
UGCCAGCAGCCGCGGUAAUACGAAGGGGGCGAGCGUUAUUCGGAAUAACUGGGCGUAAAGGGUUUGUAGACGGUAAAUUUUUAUUAAAGGUGAAAUAUGGAAGCUCAACUUUCAUAAGCUUUUAGAUUCAAUUUACUUGAGUUAGAGAGAGGAUAGCAGAAUUUUUCAAGUAGGGGUUAAAUCCAUGAAUAUGAAAAAGAAUACCAGAUGCGAAGGCGGCUAUCUAGCUCUAUACUGACGUUGAGGAACUAAAGCGUGGGGAGCAAACAGGAUUAGAUA